GACGAACGCUGGCGGCGUGCUUAACACAUGCAAGUCGAACGAUGAAGCCGGAGCUUGCUCUGGUGAAUUAGUGGCGAACGGGUGAGUAACACGUGAGUAACCUGCCCUUGACUCUGGGAUAACUGCGGGAAACUGUAGCUAAUACCGGAUACGACCCUCGGAGGCAUCUCCUGGGGGUGGAAAGAAUUUCGGUCAAGGAUGGACUCGUGGCCUAUCAGCUAGUUGGUGAGGUAAAGGCUCACCAAGGCGACGACGGGUAGCCGGCCUGAGAGGGUGACCGGCCACACUGGGACUGAGACACGGCCCAGACUCCUACGGGAGGCAGCAGUGUGGAAUAUUGCACAAUGGGCGCAAGCCUGACGCAGCAACGCCGCGUGAGGGAUGACGGCCUUCGGGUUGUAAACCUCUUUUAGCAGGGAAGAAGCGAAAGUGACGGUACCUGCAGAAAAAGCACCGGCUAACUACGUGCCAGCCGCCGCUGUAA
RNAcentral lists this ribosomal RNA (484 nucleotides) under uncultured bacterium. RNAcentral's name for it is "partial 16S ribosomal RNA". It matches the Rfam family "Bacterial small subunit ribosomal RNA", at positions 28 to 523 of the family's 1533-position model. The record is from RNAcentral.